Molecule: long non-coding RNA, 290 nt
Organism: Dermacentor andersoni
Lineage: Eukaryota; Metazoa; Arthropoda; Arachnida; Ixodida; Ixodidae
Source: RefSeq, a predicted model, not a curated record
AACUCCACUGACUGCUUAAACGUAUCCUAGCUGUCAUCACUGUAGAAGUUACCCUCUAGACACUGGUUAUGAAGUCUGCAGUGAGUUUCUUAUUUUUAGUUCUUUUCUGGCAAGGUGCUUUACGGAUGGGAUAUCACCACAGUCCAGGCGUUGAAGCCAGCAAUUGCGAGGUUGAAGAAGGACAAUUGGUUAAAAAGCUAGUAGAACUCCACAAUGCAUCAGUGAGGCUCGCAUUGUCGAAGAGUAAGGCUCACAAGCCAGUUCAUUUUGCCGAGGUGUGCCCUGGAUAU